UACGGGGGGGGCAAGCGUUGUUCGGAAUUACUGGGCGUAAAGGGCUCGUAGGUGGCCAACUAAGUCAGACGUGAAAUCCCUCAGCUUAACUGGGGAACUGCGUCUGAUACUGGAUGGCUUGAGUUUGGGAGAGGGAUGCGGAAUUCCAGGUGUAGCGGUGAAAUGCGUAGAUAUCUGGAGGAACACCAAUAGCGAAGGCAGCUCGCUGGGACGGUAUUGACGCUAAGGCGCGAAAGCGUGGGGAGCAAACAGG
Molecule: ribosomal RNA, 253 nt
Filed under: uncultured bacterium
Lineage: Bacteria
Description: partial 16S ribosomal RNA
Rfam family: Bacterial small subunit ribosomal RNA
Source: RNAcentral